AUCCAGCUGACGAGUCUCAAAUAGGACUAAACGCGCGUCCUGAAU
RNAcentral lists this non-coding RNA (45 nucleotides) under Schistosoma haematobium. The record is from RNAcentral. Lineage: Eukaryota; Metazoa; Platyhelminthes; Trematoda; Strigeidida; Schistosomatidae.